GUGCCUGGGUUUUUAUGAAGUCUUUGGAAAGAUUUAAUUAAAACUGUUUUCUCGAUUUCAUCUUCUGCAGAAAUGGUCUUUUAAAGGUUCUACCCAUGGGCUAUUGUUUAUCCAAUUUAAGGUAUUUAAAUGCAGAAUAUUAUUCUGGUGUAUUUAUUCUGUAGAAAUCUAGGCUUAAUUUUUUGCCUAAACAGUUCGGUGUUAUGUGGAGGAGAUGCAGUCCACGUUCUGCAACUGAUAUGAGAGGUGAGAUUGAAAUGAGUUUGACUGUCUUCUGCAUUUUAUCUAAAGCCUGCAGGUAACUUGGCCUUGUUGUGUCUGAACAUCAUAAGUAUAUAUUAUUUUUCUAUUAAAACAUUUUCAUACAUAUCACUGUCAUUUAUACUGUUCUGUAUUUAACUAAAAUAUGUUUUCCUCCUUGAUAUUUUCUCUAGUUGUGGUCACUGUGCUUCUAUUCGGUUUUUCUAUACAAGCUAUUCACUCAAUCUCUAGUGCUUGCUUUCAGGGUUUGUUUAUGAAUUGAAUAUUGUGAUGUUUCUAGGUGUUCCCACAAGUGCAACAUGAAGGCUUACCUGUUGCAUUUCCAUUUCACCAGCACUCAGAUUCCCCAAGUUUCUCAAAUCACAGCUGACGAUUCAGCCAAACCAUGAAGUUACCUGUGCUGGUGCUGUAAUGAAAACACCCACUGCUCUCCUGUGCUGGAAAUCCCAUUGACAGACUCGGUUACCCACAGCUCUUUUCCCCAUACAUCAUCCUGGUUUCACAGACUCCUCUGCUUCAGGGAAUUUCUCACCACAAACACAACUGACUUUCCCUACUGAAAAUUGAGCUGCAGCAAAUAUCUUACAUGGUCAAUUCUGUUCACCCACAAAAUAUGACUGGCCUUUUCCUCAGAUCCCAGUCAAUGCCUUCUCCUUUUAAUUUGCUCUGCUUUCUACCUUACAUUUAUUUAUUUCUGCAGCCAUAUUCCCAGGUCAUUCCCUAGCCCUGUUCAAAGAGAUCGGGUUUGCAUCUCCCUAGUGCAGGAUGUCUCCAAAGUCAGCAGCUCUUUCUUUGGAUAAAAUGCAGUCCUUAUAUCUCUGCAGACCUUUUCCCUUGCCAGAAGAUCAUCCCGCUCAGACACUGUUGGCCUGGUCCAGCCUGCUCCCAUCUCCCUGAGACCCUCUGUUCUUGCCAAACUCCAGCCCUUGGUGGGGUCCAUCUCCCCUGAAUGCAGCCCUCUCAGCCAGGUGGACAGGUCCCAGGCAGACCCAGCUGCAACACAGCUCCCUGACCAGCUCUGCACACCCUGCAGGGAACUGACCAGAGCAACUCUUGUCACCUUUUCUGAAUCAGUGGUGUGAAAAGAGAAGCAACGUAUCUUUCAGAAAAAAGUGAAAAUCAUCUACCUCUCAUUAAGGCAUUCUUCGGUUCUGACCUCUGUCAUCACCUGCUAGUGCUCCCUGGAGAAUAGACAGUCACAAAAGUGAACUGUGUUUCUGGCUGCAUAUAACGUCCGACUCUUAGUCCGUGAACUGCCCAUACAACCAUUCCUGUUGCUUCAAACAAGUAGUCCAAAAUUGUCGAUAAAUGCAGUAAACAACAGGCUGCUUUCUUUCAGAAGAAGUUAUAUGAAGUUGUCAUCCAUUUGAUGGCUGUAGUUGCACGCAAGAAGGUUAUAAAAGGAUGACCACAGAUUUUCUUCUGUCGAUGGACGGAGGCUCUUCAACCUCCUUUGGUGUUGCAGCCGAUGCAGUCCAGACCUGUCGUCAGGGGAGGUGCACUGUGAUGGCCAGAGGGAGAUCAGCCUCUCACUGAAAUGAUGCAGAUGGCUCACCUCGAAGUGCUGCAUUUGUACCUAUGAAGCUCCUAUGAUCACAGUCUAGGCAGGGCAUGAUUAAAGAAGAAGAGCCCACCUUUCUGCUGCCCAGCCAAGUUUCAUGAACUUCUUGAGAAGAAAAAAUAAAAGAAGAAAAAAAAGGUUGUACAGGGGAGACUUUACAGACAGGAGCAAGCUGGAUACAAGGCCCUGUCUAUGAGUGGGGAUUAGUUCUGCUUCUUGAAAGUUUACUUGGGCUUGUGUUGUUUCAUCUCUGUCUUCUCUGCUGAGACUGCAGUUGUUCGGGCAUGCUCAGGGAUGCUUGUGGUGAGCCCCACUUACAAGCAACUUCUACAGUAGCCAGUCUCAUGUCACCAACUGACAGCCAGCUACUCUAACAUCUCUGUGGGAGGCUUGUGAUAAAGCCAUCUGGACUCUGGUAAUACGGGACACUGGCAGCUGUAGCAGAAAACUUCAGGUUCUCUGAUGACUGUGGGUUUAGUGCCAGUGUAAAAUCAAAGUGGAAAUGGCCUAAACCAGAAGUACUGAAAGAAAGAUUAGUCACUGACAUAUGAGGGAGAAAAUACGACACCCUGUGAGAGCUGAUCCUUGUAGUGUUGCCCAGGCACCCAGUACUGCACCGUGUGGCCAAAAAUUACCUGUGAGCAAGACAGAGGCUAUUGCUUGCAGACUUCAGGGCCAAGAAAAUCCUCUCAUAUCUCGGUGUCUGCUGGCUGUAGUUCCAGGCUCUGUCAGUGCUGUAGGAGCAAGCUGUCUGGUUUCCCUCUCCGGAAAGUUUGCAGCUGCUAGGAAGUACCCCCAGGAAGCACUGGCAUUCCCAAGGCACUGAGCCCUGGUGACAAACUCAUAGAUUUGUGGGGGUUUGAGGUUGAUGUCCCUAUCUAGGUUUAAUGGCAUCAUUCCACUCCACUUAACUGCUUCCAUUUUACUAAUUUUUCCAAAUUUUCAGUCUGCAAAUCAAAGAUUCUCAUUGCAGCACAACACAGAAUUUUUUAAGUAAUACAUUAUGAUUUUUAUUUUCCUGACUAUAUGCAAAACAGUAUGGUUGUAGUAUAUAGGAACAAUACCUAUCUUAAAGGAACUGUUGUCUAGAUAUAUUAUCUUUUAGAGUAGUUGGUAGUUAAAAGCUGUCCUUAUUGCACCGAGGAAGUAAAAUCCACACUUGUUAGGCUCUUAUUUCAUCCUCUUUCCUAGAGCCUCACCUUUUUGGCCCUGCUAACUUCCAUGUCCAUAAUGAACUCCAUUUAGCUUCCCUGCAGCAGGACCUUGUCUUUGUAAAUCACUGACCCAGCGGCAUGAAGCUGCAUAGGAGAGCAGGUUAUAUUUUUUCUAGAUUUUCUCUACUUCCUUCAGCACUUGUAGCUUCUAAGAAACUGCAGAACAAACAAGUAUAAAAGAUCAGGAAGAUGGCCUGAAAAACUAAUGUUUAAAAGAGGUCUCAUUGUACUCAGUUUUCCACCAGCUGCCAACUAUAGACUGAUGGCUGAAAUCUUAGAAGGAGUUAAUGAGAUUAGGUCUUUAGUGACUGAUUGCUUAAUGCUGUCUUCUCAUUCAGUGGUGUAAUUUUUUUUUUCUUCUUUUCAGUAACUAUAAAUAAACUUCUCAUGGAGAUCAGCUGGGACCUCGUAGCAGAAAUCUUAUUUAAAACAACUGGAAAUUACUUCACCUGGGCUUAAGCCACAGCGUAACAGAUACCUUCUCCUCCAGCCCUGCUUUUCUGUUCUGGAAGUGUACAGGAGGGAAGGGCAACUGUCUCAUCCCCAGUUUUGCCCAGUUGAAGAUAUGCAUGCAGGUCUGUGCCUGUACCUGUUACUUCAGAAAAGCAGAAAAGAUUCUUCUCACAAGAUAUCAUAACAGGGAAACAUCCUUCUGGAACUUGACUCAGGCCAACUGAUGUCUUCUCCCUGCCUGGAGAAAACCUUUGUCCUCCAGGCUGAAGACAGGCACUUGAAAGUAAACCUACCUGGUCUGUCCCUAUGAACCAGCAGUGUUGAAGGUUAAUUAGAAGUGCUGAAGGAGAAAAUCACUUUUUCCAUGUGUGCACCACUUGAGAACCACAGGAUCGGGACUAUUUAUUUGGAUCACUUUAUUCUUUGUUAUCAUCCAAUGGGACAGGCUGAGUCCCAUUUCUCUUCCACGUGAAGAUUUCAGUUUCCUUGGACUACCAUAAAUCCUAAGCAGUGAUCCUGUUUUUUUUUCCUGACAGCAACUCCCAUUGGAGUUUACUUUGGACUUCCUGAAGAGGUGGUCAGAGAGACUAUUCUCAUGGGCUCCGAAAUCCUCCUCUGCUUAGAAUGAUGGGGGGGAGCAUUAGCACAGGCUGGCAUACAGCACCACCUGGGAGAUCUUAUGUUACUCAUUGUGCUGCCCUUCUCUCAGCAGGGCAUGCCCUCGGUGCAGAUGAGGAUGUAUUAAGUGACUGAAAGACAUCAGUUGUUCCCCAAAAGGUGUCAGUUCAGUGUUGCUGUAGAUGAGAGAACUGUUCCAUUUCUGUCCUUAAUCUGAAAUAAUUUUCAGAUUGCUUGCU
Long non-coding RNA from Pipra filicauda (Wire-tailed manakin), 4346 nucleotides. RefSeq lists it as uncharacterized. The record is from RefSeq and is a predicted model, not a curated record. NCBI's taxonomy places the organism in Eukaryota, Metazoa, Chordata, Aves, Passeriformes, Pipridae. The transcript has 12 exons.